RNAcentral lists this long non-coding RNA (246 nucleotides) under Olea europaea (common olive). Its description in RNAcentral is "long non-coding RNA (OEUR_LNC000028)". Lineage: Eukaryota; Viridiplantae; Streptophyta; Magnoliopsida; Lamiales; Oleaceae. The record is from RNAcentral.
AUUUUAAAGGGUGACAAACAUGCACUAAUUCUGGACAAAAGUUUGAGUAUUCAUUUAAAGGGCAUACUCUCGACAAUUGAUUACACAUAUAUUAACAAAACGAUAAAAAUACCAAGUCUAAACUAGCUACUUAUAAGCUUAGCCAAACAUUUCCUUAUUUUUUCUCAUUGCUUCUGAUGCUCAUCGCAUUUCUAAUUAUUCCAUUUGACAUCUGUUCUGUACCCUUUAUAAAGUGGGAAUAAAGAA